This 401-nucleotide ribosomal RNA is filed under the name Arthrobacter sp. AZTITEMP13. RNAcentral describes it as "bacterial SSU rRNA". It matches the Rfam family "Bacterial small subunit ribosomal RNA", at positions 934 to 1335 of the family's 1533-position model. The record is from RNAcentral. Lineage: Bacteria; Bacillati; Actinomycetota; Actinomycetes; Micrococcales; Micrococcaceae.
GGAGCAUGUGGUUUAAUUCGAUGCAACGCGAAGANCCUUACCAAGGCUUGACAUGAACUGGAAAUACCUGGAAACAGGUGCCCCGCUUGCGGUCGGUUUACAGGUGGUGCAUGGUUGUCGUCAGCUCGUGUCGUGAGAUGUUGGGUUAAGUCCCGCAACGAGCGCAACCCUCGUUCUAUGUUGCCAGCACGUUAUGGUGGGGACUCAUAGGAGACUGCCGGGGUCAACUCGGAGGAAGGUGAGGACGACGUCAAAUCAUCAUGCCCCUUAUGUCUUGGGCUUCACGCAUGCUACAAUGGCCGGUACAAUGGGUUGCGAUACUGUGAGGUGGAGCUAAUCCCAAAAAGCCGGUCUCAGUUCGGAUUGGGGUCUGCAACUCGACCCCANGAAGUCGGAGUCGC